Molecule: ribosomal RNA, 207 nt
Filed under: uncultured bacterium
Lineage: Bacteria
Description: partial 16S ribosomal RNA
Rfam family: Bacterial small subunit ribosomal RNA
Source: RNAcentral
UGCGUAGACGGUACAUUAAGUUCGUCGUUAAAGGCUCCGGCCUAACCGGAGUAUUGCGAUGAAAACUGGUGAGCUAGAGGGUGAGAGAGAGAAGUGGAAUUCCCGGAGUAGCGGUAAAAUGCGUGGAUCUCGGGAGGAACACCAAUGGCGAAGGCAGCUUCUUGGCUCAUUCCUGACGUUGAGGCACGAAAGCGUGGGGAGCAAACA